This 253-nucleotide ribosomal RNA is filed under the name uncultured bacterium. Its description in RNAcentral is "partial 16S ribosomal RNA". It matches the Rfam family "Bacterial small subunit ribosomal RNA", at positions 524 to 776 of the family's 1533-position model. The record is from RNAcentral.
UACAUGGGGUGCAAACGUUGCUCGGAAUCAUUGGGCGUAAAGCGCGCGUAGGCGGUUAUUUAAGUUGGAUGUGAAAGCCCUCGGCUUAACUGAGGAAGUGCAUCCAAAACUGAAUAGCUAGAGUACGAAAGAGGGUCGCGGAAUUCCCGGUGUAGAGGUGAAAUUCGUAGAUAUCGGGAGGAACACCGGUGGCGAAGGCGGCGACCUGGGUCGAGACUGACGCUGAGGCGCGAAAGCGUGGGGAGCAAACAGG